GCUGGCGGCGCGCCUAACUCAUGCAAGUCGAGCGAGAACCAGGGCUUCGGCCCUGGSGACAGCGGCGAACGGGUGAGUAACACGUGGAUAACCUGCCCUCGGCACCGGAAUAGCCCGGGGAAACUCGGAUUAAUGCCGGAUAGCCCCACAUCCCUGCGGGGAACGUGGGAAAAGGUAGCUUCGGCCUCUGGCCGAGGAUGGGUCCGCGGUGGAUUAGCUUGUUGGCGGGGUAACGGCCCACCAAGGCGACGAUCCAUAGCUGGUCUGAGAGGACGAUCAGCCACACUGGGACUGAGACACGGCCCAGACUCCUACGGGAGGCAGCAGUGGGGAAUCUUGCGCAAUGGGCGAAAGCCUGACGCAGCGACGCCGCGUGCGGGAAGAAGGCCUUCGGGUUGUAAACCGCUUUCAGGAGGGACGAAGCCACUCGGGUUAAUAGCCCAGAGGGUGACGGUACCUCCAGAAGAAGCCCCGGCUAACUACGUGCCAGCAGCCGCGGUAAUACGUAGGGGGCAAGCGUUGUCCGGAUUCAUUGGGCGUAAAGAGCGUGUAGGCGGCCAGGUAGGUCGGUUGUGAAAACUGGAGGCUCAACCUUCAGAGGUCGAC
This 606-nucleotide ribosomal RNA is filed under the name uncultured soil bacterium. RNAcentral describes it as "bacterial SSU rRNA". It matches the Rfam family "Bacterial small subunit ribosomal RNA", at positions 35 to 627 of the family's 1533-position model. The record is from RNAcentral.